CGCGCGCCGUAAAAAGAGCAUUAGGAAACAUUUGCAGCCCUCCGGUGCUUCCACUCCUCAGCCCACUCUCUGUCUGUCAGCCUGUGGUCGAUCACCUCCUCCUGCCUGGUCCCUGUAUGCAUGCCUGUAAGAGAGGAAGACGGAUGGACGGAAGGGCAGAAAGAUAAAUAAAGGGAAGGGUCACGCAGGUAUGCGCGCAUCGGCUUCAAAGACAUCUGAUGGGGUGCGUUUUUGAAGCAAGAAGAUGAAAGCGUUGCGUCAGGCAGGAUUUUCGGGACGAGAGCCGGGGCUGUUUUGGCGAGGCACAUCACAGGAGCCGUUGGAGGAGGCCAUCUUUGCAAGUUUAGCCUCUCUUUAUCCCGCUGGUGUAGAUGCUUUAACCGUCCUGACUCGUCCUUGACGAAUGCUUACAGAAAUAACAAUCGCAGAACACAACCCAGAUAUUUUCUUUUGUUUUUUUGUGGUAUUAACAGUAUGUUUUAUAAUAAUACAAAAGAAAAAUAAAAAUCCCUCUCCAGUAAUUGGCUGUGGUUAAAAAGAAAUGCCAAGCGCUGGCCUUCGCUUUACCUGCCCGAGUUAAUGGUCCGUUAAUAGUUUAUGAUCGUAAUUACCCUCUGAAAGAAAAAAAAAAAAGAGAGCAUGAAAUAGAUUGCUUUGACCCCGCCGAACUCAUCUUUCAUUAAUUAGAGGUCAUCCUAAUUGCCAGCGAGAUGUGGGAUGCAUUAAGAAAAAAAAAAAAAAAAGA
This is a long non-coding RNA of Acanthopagrus latus (yellowfin seabream), 745 nucleotides long. RefSeq lists it as uncharacterized. The transcript has 4 exons. Lineage: Eukaryota; Metazoa; Chordata; Actinopteri; Spariformes; Sparidae. The record is from RefSeq and is a predicted model, not a curated record.